RNAcentral lists this ribosomal RNA (1874 nucleotides) under Staphylococcus aureus. Its description in RNAcentral is "partial 23S ribosomal RNA". It matches the Rfam family "Bacterial large subunit ribosomal RNA", at positions 1049 to 2925 of the family's 2925-position model. The record is from RNAcentral. Lineage: Bacteria; Bacillati; Bacillota; Bacilli; Caryophanales; Staphylococcaceae.
AAAAUAUAUGUUAAGUGGAAAAGGAUGUGGCGUUGCCCAGACAACUAGGAUGUUGGCUUAGAAGCAGCCAUCAUUUAAAGAGUGCGUAAUAGCUCACUAGUCGAGUGACACUGCGCCGAAAAUGUACCGGGGCUAAACAUAUUACCGAAGCUGUGGAUUGUCCUUUGGACAAUGGUAGGAGAGCGUUCUAAGGGCGUUGAAGCAUGAUCGUAAGGACAUGUGGAGCGCUUAGAAGUGAGAAUGCCGGUGUGAGUAGCGAAAGACGGGUGAGAAUCCCGUCCACCGAUUGACUAAGGUUUCCAGAGGAAGGCUCGUCCGCUCUGGGUUAGUCGGGUCCUAAGCUGAGGCCGACAGGCGUAGGCGAUGGAUAACAGGUUGAUAUUCCUGUACCACCUAUAAUCGUUUUAAUCGAUGGGGGGACGCAGUAGGAUAGGCGAAGCGUGCGAUUGGAUUGCACGUCUAAGCAGUAAGGCUGAGUAUUAGGCAAAUCCGGUACUCGUUAAGGCUGAGCUGUGAUGGGGAGAAGACAUUGAGUCUUCGAGUCGUUGAUUUCACACUGCCGAGAAAAGCCUCUAGAUAGAAAAUAGGUGCCCGUACCGCAAACCGACACAGGUAGUCAAGAUGAGAAUUCUAAGGUGAGCGAGCGAACUCUCGUUAAGGAACUCGGCAAAAUGACCCCGUAACUUCGGGAGAAGGGGUGCUCUUUAGGGUUAACGCCCAGAAGAGCCGCAGUGAAUAGGCCCAAGCGACUGUUUAUCAAAAACACAGGUCUCUGCUAAACCGUAAGGUGAUGUAUAGGGGCUGACGCCUGCCCGGUGCUGGAAGGUUAAGAGGAGUGGUUAGCUUCUGCGAAGCUACGAAUCGAAGCCCCAGUAAACGGCGGCCGUAACUAUAACGGUCCUAAGGUAGCGAAAUUCCUUGUCGGGUAAGUUCCGACCCGCACGAAAGGCGUAACGAUUUGGGCACUGUCUCAACGAGAGACUCGGUGAAAUCAUAGUACCUGUGAAGAUGCAGGUUACCCGCGACAGGACGGAAAGACCCCGUGGAGCUUUACUGUAGCCUGAUAUUGAAAUUCGGCACAGCUUGUACAGGAUAGGUAGGAGCCUUUGAAACGUGAGCGCUAGCUUACGUGGAGGCGCUGGUGGGAUACUACCCUAGCUGUGUUGGCUUUCUAACCCGCACCACUUAUCGUGGUGGGAGACAGUGUCAGGCGGGCAGUUUGACUGGGGCGGUCGCCUCCUAAAAGGUAACGGAGGCGCUCAAAGGUUCCCUCAGAAUGGUUGGAAAUCAUUCAUAGAGUGUAAAGGCAUAAGGGAGCUUGACUGCGAGACCUACAAGUCGAGCAGGGUCGAAAGACGGACUUAGUGAUCCGGUGGUUCCGCAUGGAAGGGCCAUCGCUCAACGGAUAAAAGCUACCCCGGGGAUAACAGGCUUAUCUCCCCCAAGAGUUCACAUCGACGGGGAGGUUUGGCACCUCGAUGUCGGCUCAUCGCAUCCUGGGGCUGUAGUCGGUCCCAAGGGUUGGGCUGUUCGCCCAUUAAAGCGGUACGCGAGCUGGGUUCAGAACGUCGUGAGACAGUUCGGUCCCUAUCCGUCGUGGGCGUAGGAAAUUUGAGAGGAGCUGUCCUUAGUACGAGAGGACCGGGAUGGACAUACCUCUGGUGUACCAGUUGUCGUGCCAACGGCAUAGCUGGGUAGCUAUGUGUGGACGGGAUAAGUGCUGAAAGCAUCUAAGCAUGAAGCCCCCCUCAAGAUGAGAUUUCCCAACUUCGGUUAUAAGAUCCCUCAAAGAUGAUGAGGUUAAUAGGUUCGAGGUGGAAGCAUGGUGACAUGUGGAGCUGACGAAUACUAAUCGAUCGAAGACUUAAUCAAAA